Molecule: unclassified non-coding RNA, 257 nt
Filed under: rhizosphere metagenome
Description: partial ribosomal RNA internal transcribed spacer region
Source: RNAcentral
AGAGCAAUGAGCAGUCAGCGCCCCGGGAGAAAUCCUGGGGGCCACCCUCCUUGGAGGGUUUAGAGACGUCGGGCCUCUCAGAGAAGCUCGGUUCAGACCUCCACCCUUGAAUAAAUUACCUUUGUUGCUUUGGCAGGACGCCUCGUGCCAGCGGCUUCGGCUGCUGAGUGCCUGCCAGAGGACCACAACUCUUGAAAUACAUGAUGUCUGAGUACUAUAUAAUAGUUAAAACUUUCAACAACGGAUCUCUUGGUUCU